UUAUAGUUGAAAAAGGAAAUUAAAAAUUUAGAGUGGUAUUUCAAAAGAAAGUAGAAGAGGGAGAGUGCAAAAAAGGAGUAGCUGUAAAUUGCAACACUGAAAAAUGUCCCCCCAUUUAGAGUUUACUUUUAGUACUUGUCAAACUUGUCAGCUAAUUAAAGUGUUUUUUAACUACUGUGUGAGCGUGCUUUUCAAUAGUUUAUUUAAUUUAUUUAAUGUGUACAAAAAAGAUAAACAAAGUGUUGAUAACUUUAUAUAAAUAUUUAACAGAAUUCCGAAUCCUGAAAGACAAAAUUAUUAUUGGUACAACAUUCUAUACUAUACUAGCUGUGAUGAUGAUGUUUUUCUGAUGGUGAUGGCAAAGUAUUUAUCACAAAUGUGGGUCAUAAAAAAUUCUUCGUGUGUGCGAAAAAUUUAAGUACAAAACACGC
Molecule: long non-coding RNA, 431 nt
Organism: Lucilia sericata (common green bottle fly)
Lineage: Eukaryota; Metazoa; Arthropoda; Insecta; Diptera; Calliphoridae
Exons: 3
Source: RefSeq, a predicted model, not a curated record